RNAcentral lists this ribosomal RNA (544 nucleotides) under Streptomyces sp. 303E12. RNAcentral's name for it is "bacterial SSU rRNA". It matches the Rfam family "Bacterial small subunit ribosomal RNA", at positions 93 to 651 of the family's 1533-position model. Lineage: Bacteria; Bacillati; Actinomycetota; Actinomycetes; Kitasatosporales; Streptomycetaceae. The record is from RNAcentral.
UAGUGGCGAACGGGUGAGUAACACGUGGGCAAUCUGCCCUGCACUCUGGGACAAGCCCUGGAAACGGGGUCUAAUACCGGAUAUGAGCUGGAACCGCAUGGUUCUGGUUGUAAAGCUCCGGCGGUGCAGGAUGAGCCCGCGGCCUAUCAGCUUGUUGGUGAGGUAAUGGCUCACCAAGGCGACGACGGGUAGCCGGCCUGAGAGGGCGACCGGCCACACUGGGACUGAGACACGGCCCAGACUCCUACGGGAGGCAGCAGUGGGGAAUAUUGCACAAUGGGCGAAAGCCUGAUGCAGCGACGCCGCGUGAGGGAUGACGGCCUUCGGGUUGUAAACCUCUUUCAGCAGGGAAGAAGCGAAAGUGACGGUACCUGCAGAAGAAGCGCCGGCUAACUACGUGCCAGCAGCCGCGGUAAUACGUAGGGCGCAAGCGUUGUCCGGAAUUAUUGGGCGUAAAGAGCUCGUAGGCGGCUUGUCACGUCGAUUGUGAAAGCCCGGGGCUUAACCCCGGGUCUGCAGUCGAUACGGGCUAGCUAGAGUGUGG